This 408-nucleotide ribosomal RNA is filed under the name uncultured bacterium. RNAcentral's name for it is "partial 16S ribosomal RNA". It matches the Rfam family "Bacterial small subunit ribosomal RNA", at positions 28 to 526 of the family's 1533-position model. The record is from RNAcentral.
GACGAACGCUGGCGGCGGGCUUAACACAUGCAAGUCGAACGGAGUGGGGAACGGGUGAGUAACACGUGGGUGAGCUGCCCUGCAAUUGGGGAGAGGACUGGGAAACAGGGGAUAAUACCGGAUAGUGUGGGAUGGGCCCGCGGCCUAUCGGCUUGUUGGGGGGGUAAUGGCCUACCAAGGGGGCGAGGGGUAGCCGGCCUGAGAGGGUGGACGGCCACAUGGUGACUGAGACACGGCCCAGACUGCUACGGGCGGCAGCAGUGGGGAAUAUUGCCCAAUGGUCGGAAGUCUGAUGCGGCGACGCCGCGUGGGGGAUGUCGGCCUUCGGGUUGUACACUCCUUGCACCUUCGACGCGGUAGAUGGAGAAGAAGCACCGGCUAACUCCGUGCCAGCCGCCGCGGUAAUAC